RNAcentral lists this ribosomal RNA (346 nucleotides) under uncultured eukaryote. RNAcentral describes it as "SSU rRNA". It matches the Rfam family "Eukaryotic small subunit ribosomal RNA", at positions 594 to 945 of the family's 1831-position model. The record is from RNAcentral.
AUAGCGUAUAUUAAAGUUGUUGCAGUUAAAAAGCUCGUAGUUGAACUUCGGACCUGGUACGGUGGUCCGCCUUACGGUGUGUACUGCUGGACCGGGUUCUACCUCUUGGUGAGCCGGCAUGCCCUUCACUGGGUGUGUCGGGGAACCAGGACUUUUACCUUGAGAAAAUUAGAGUGUUCAAAGCAGGCCUACGCCUGAAUACAUUAGCAUGGCAUAAUAAAAUAGGACGUGCGGUUCUAUUUUGUUGGUUUCUAGAGUCGCCGUAAUGAUUAAUAGGGAUAGUUGGGGGCAUUUGUAUUCCGUUGCUAGAGGUGAAAUUCUUGGAUCUAUUGAAGACUAACUACUG